UUCUGGGAUUAAUGACAGAUUGAGAGCUCUUUGUUGAUUCGGUGGAUGGUGGUGCAAGUCCGUUCUUAGUUGGGGGGGUGAUUUGUCUGGUUAAUUUCGCUAACGAACGAGGUUCUAGCCUAUUAAAUAGGCGGAGGCAUGCGGUUUAGAGAAGCUCGUUUUAGCGAACGCCGUUUUACCGACCCAGGUUUAUCGAAUGCCUUUAUAGAGAACCCAGUUUAGAGAAAAUGGCGAUGAGCCUCUUUUUAGUGAAUUCGGCCGCCACGAAGCGGCGUGUACGGGUAAAUCAGGUGAGUUAACAUUUUUGUAAUGAGCCGCCGCAGUCUGCCGCCGCGAAGCGGCGGGACCGCAGCGGGGGGCAUGGCUUAACAGGCGCACCAGUGAUACACGCGAGAAGUGGGAAAGCCAUCUUUUUAAAAAGCGCCCCCUUUUCGAUAAACGGCGUUUCUCUAAAAUGAGGCUCUGCUUUCUCUAAACCAUGCUUCGAUAAAACGUUCCCAUUCUCUAGAACGUGCUUCAAUGAAAUGGCAUUCGAUCAACCGUAGUAAACUCUUAAAUAGGUGCGUGGUUUUCUGCACCUUGCCACCUUUCUUAGAGGGACAAGCGGCUCCUAGCCGCACGAAACAGAGCAAUAACAGGUCUUUGAUGUCCUUAGAU
RNAcentral lists this ribosomal RNA (657 nucleotides) under Ixodes scapularis (black-legged tick). RNAcentral describes it as "eukaryotic small subunit ribosomal RNA". It matches the Rfam family "Eukaryotic small subunit ribosomal RNA", at positions 1229 to 1478 of the family's 1831-position model. The record is from RNAcentral. Lineage: Eukaryota; Metazoa; Arthropoda; Arachnida; Ixodida; Ixodidae.